UAGGAUAGGAUCUGAGAUUCUGCAUUUCCAACAAGCUCCCAGGUGAUGCCAAUGCUGUGGGUCCACGGACCACACAUUGGGUAGCCAGGAUGUAGCACAUGUGUCCUUUGGAACGCCCCUUCUGCCACCAAGCGCUCUCAUUUCCUUUUGGCAGAUGGAGUUGCUCCUUCUCUGUGCUGCACAGAGCCUCCUGGAAGAUUUCUCAUGGGCCUUUUCCCACGUUCGAGUCUAACGAUCUCUGUCCUUGUCAUUCGUCCGUUAGACCAAAGGCCACUCCAGGGCUGGCUGUGGAAGAAUGAAAAAGCAAAAGAGAACAUUCCAGGCCGGUAACUCCAGUAAGACAGUUGCAUGCCGUGCACAGUAACUGUCACCUUCCCCAGUCCAGCAUUACAUGCUGUUGUAAAAACCAGCAGCUUUGCAUCGACAGACCACACUUCUGGCCUUGCCUGGCAGGAGUGUGCUGCUCUGGGAACCUCUAAAACCCUGGACCAGCCCCCACACGCAGGAGAUGUGGAGUUUCCUCUCUCGACUUCACAUGAGCGAAAGAUGAGGACACAGAUAGCUUCAAUGCCCUAAUCACACAGCAAGUUGCAGAACCUGGAUUCGAACCAAGUCAGACCUCACAACCCACGGCCCUUGUCCUUUCUGUGACUUCAAUAUUAUUAAAAUGAACUCUCUAUAAACGGAAGUAGAUACAUUUAUUAUUAUCAUCAUUGCCCUCAUCAUCAUGCAUCAGUCAGCUAUUGCUGCAUAACAAACAUCUACAAAAA
Long non-coding RNA from Equus caballus (horse), 770 nucleotides. RefSeq lists it as uncharacterized. NCBI's taxonomy places the organism in Eukaryota, Metazoa, Chordata, Mammalia, Perissodactyla, Equidae. The record is from RefSeq and is a predicted model, not a curated record.